This 420-nucleotide ribosomal RNA is filed under the name Triticum aestivum (bread wheat). RNAcentral's name for it is "partial small subunit ribosomal RNA". The record is from RNAcentral. Lineage: Eukaryota; Viridiplantae; Streptophyta; Magnoliopsida; Poales; Poaceae.
AUGGCUCCUACCGAGGCUGAGGCUGAUGUAGAGGAGGGAGAAGAGAAGAAGAAGAGGGAAAGGAAAGCAGCCGGAGCUGCUAUCACGUGGAUUCAAAAUAACUUUGCGACGUGCCCUCCGGAUGCCACUGAUGAUGUGAUCCAGACACAUGCUCGUGUGUAUAUGUGGUACGUUGUGUCUAGGACUUUGUUUCCUGACUCCACUGGCAAGAACGCUCCAUGGAUGUGGCUGAAGGCGUUGACCGUCUUCGAUAGCAAAUGGAGCUGGGGUUCAGCGACUCUUGCCUACUUGUACCGGCAGGUAGUUGGUCUGUUUUGUGAUCAACUCAUUUCUUCAUUAGCAAUGCAAGCUUGCUGUCAAGUUAACAUUGUUUUUCUUUCAUAUGUAGCUGGACGAUGCGUGUUGCAGGAUCACAGAUAG